AAAAGGCGGCGUAAGCUGUCGCUAAAGGAUGGACCCGCGGUGCAUUAGCUAGUUGGUAAGGUAACGGCUUACCAAGGCGACGAUGCAUAGCCGAGUUGAGAGACUGAUCGGCCACAUUGGGACUGAGACACGGCCCAAACUCCUACGGGAGGCAGCAGUAGGGAAUCUUCCACAAUGGGCGAAAGCCUGAUGGAGCAACGCCGCGUGAGUGAAGAAGGUUUUCGGAUCGUAAAGCUCUGUUGUUGGUGAAGAAGGAUAGAGGUAGUAACUGGCCCCUAUUUGACGGUAAUCAACCAGAAAGUCACGGCUAACUACGUGCCAGCAGCCGCGGUAAUACGUAGGUGGCAAGCGUUGUCCGGAUUUAUUGGGCGUAAAGCGAGCGCAGGCGGAAAGAUAAGUCUGAUGUGAAAGCCCCCGGCUUAACUGAGGAAUUGCAUCGGAAACUGUGUUUCUUGAGUGCAGAAGAGGAGAGUGGAACUCCAUGUGUAGCGGUGGAAUGCGUAGAUAUAUGGAAGAACACCAGUGGCGAAGGCGGCUCUCUGGUCUGUAACUGACGCUGAGGCUCGAAAGCAUGGGUAGCGAACAGGAUUAGAUACCCUGGUAGUCCAUGCCGUAAACGAUGAGUGCUAAGUGUUGGGAGGUUUCCGCCUCUCA
RNAcentral lists this ribosomal RNA (654 nucleotides) under uncultured bacterium. RNAcentral describes it as "bacterial SSU rRNA". It matches the Rfam family "Bacterial small subunit ribosomal RNA", at positions 202 to 842 of the family's 1533-position model. The record is from RNAcentral.